UGCCAGCCGCCGCGGUAAUACGGAGGGGGCAAGCGUUGUUCGGAAUCACUGGGCGUAAAGCGCACGUAGGCGGAUCGUUAAGUCAGGGGUGAAAUCCCGAGGCUUAACCCCGGAACUGCCUCUAAAACUGGUAAGCUAGAGGAUGCGAGAGGAAAGUGGAAUUCCGAGUGUAGAGGUGAAAUUCGUAGAUAUUCGGAAGAACACCAGUGGCGAAGGCGACUUUCUGGCGCAUAUCUGACGCUGAGGUGCGAAAGCGUGGGGAGCAAACAGGAUUAGAUA
This 279-nucleotide ribosomal RNA is filed under the name uncultured bacterium. RNAcentral describes it as "partial 16S ribosomal RNA". It matches the Rfam family "Bacterial small subunit ribosomal RNA", at positions 506 to 784 of the family's 1533-position model. The record is from RNAcentral.